RNAcentral lists this ribosomal RNA (573 nucleotides) under uncultured bacterium. RNAcentral describes it as "partial 16S ribosomal RNA". It matches the Rfam family "Bacterial small subunit ribosomal RNA", at positions 355 to 932 of the family's 1533-position model. The record is from RNAcentral.
UGAGGAAUAUUGGUCAAUGGGCGAGAGCCUGAACCAGCCAAGUCGCGUGAAGGAAGACUGCCUUAUGGGUUGUAAACUUCUUUUAUACAGGAAUAAAAAGGCUUACGUGUAGGCCAUCGCAAGUACUGUAUGAAUAAGCAUCGGCUAACUCCGUGCCAGCAGCCGCGGUAAUACGGAGGAUGCGAGCGUUAUCCGGAUUUAUUGGGUUUAAAGGGUGCGCAGGCGGGCUUUUAAGUCAGCGGUGAAAUCUGGACGCUUAACGUCCAAACUGCCGUUGAAACUGGGAGUCUUGAGUAUGGAUGAAGUAGGCGGAAUUCGUUGUGUAGCGGUGACAUGCAUAGAUAUAACGAGGAACUCCGAUUGCGUAGGCAGCUUACUAAGCCAUAACUGACGCUCAUGCACGAAAGCGUGGGGAUCAAACAGGAUUAGAUACCCUGGUAGUCCACGCCGUAAACGAUGAUUACUAGUUGUAUGCGAUAUGAUAGUAUGUGACUAAGCGAAAGCGAUAAGUAAUCCACCUGGGGAGUACGCCGGCAACGGUGAAACUCAAAUGAAUUGACGGGGUCAUAGCUG